GGCCCCGUAGAUCAGUUGGCUAGAGCAUUGACUGUACUAAAGCCUUCCCUUCGCUUGAGUGGGUUCGAAUCCCACCGAGGCCA
RNAcentral lists this transfer RNA (83 nucleotides) under Schistocephalus solidus. It matches the Rfam family "tRNA". From Rfam's summary of the family: Transfer RNA (tRNA) molecules are approximately 80 nucleotides in length. Their secondary structure includes four short double-helical elements and three loops (D, anti-codon, and T loops). The record is from Rfam by way of RNAcentral. Lineage: Eukaryota; Metazoa; Platyhelminthes; Cestoda; Diphyllobothriidea; Diphyllobothriidae.